Molecule: ribosomal RNA, 453 nt
Filed under: Spio sp. LK-2011-2
Lineage: Eukaryota; Metazoa; Annelida; Polychaeta; Spionida; Spionidae
Description: partial 16S ribosomal RNA
Rfam family: Bacterial large subunit ribosomal RNA
Source: RNAcentral
UUAAAGGUCCUCCCUGCCCAAUGAAUAUUCAAUGGCCGCGGUACCUUGACCGUGCUAAGGUAGCAUAAUAAUUUGUCUUUUAAUUAAAGACUGGAAUGAAUGGAACUACGAGAGUUAAGCUGUUUCCUUUAUAUAAAUAAAAAUUAACCUAUAAGUGAAGAGGCUUAUAUUUCAUAAAAAGACAAAAAGACCCUAUUGAGCUUUACUACCCACUAAGUUUUUCUUAGCUUUAGUUUUGUUGGGGCAACAAGAGAGGAACUUUAUCUUCUCUAAUAUUCUAAAUUAAUACAGAUCCGCUAUGCGAUUAUUAGAAAAAGCUACCAUAGGGAUAACAGGCUAAUCCUUUUUAAGAGAUCAAAUUGACAAAAGGGUUUGGCACCUCGAUGUUGGCUUAGGGGACCAUUUAGAUGCAGAAGUCUAAACUGUGGGUUUGUUCAACCUUUAAAACCCUAC